AUUGAACGCUGGCGGCAUGCCUUACACAUGCAAGUCGAACGGCAGCACGGGUGCUUGCACCUGGUGGCGAGUGGCGAACGGGUGAGUAAUACAUCGGAACAUGUCCUGUAGUGGGGGAUAGCCCGGCGAAAGCCGGAUUAAUACCGCAUACGAUCUACGGAUGAAAGCGGGGGACCUUCGGGCCUCGCGCUAUAGGGUUGGCCGAUGGCUGAUUAGCUAGUUGGUGGGGUAAAGGCCUACCAAGGCGACGAUCAGUAGCUGGUCUGAGAGGACGACCAGCCACACUGGGACUGAGACACGGCCCAGACUCCUACGGGAGGCAGCAGUGGGGAAUUUUGGACAAUGGGCGAAAGCCUGAUCCAGCAAUGCCGCGUGUGUGAAGAAGGCCUUCGGGUUGUAAAGCACUUUUGUCCGGAAAGAAAUCCUUGGCUCUAAUACAGUCGGGGGAUGACGGUACCGGAAGAAUAAGCACCGGCUAACUACGUGC
Molecule: ribosomal RNA, 487 nt
Filed under: uncultured bacterium
Lineage: Bacteria
Description: bacterial SSU rRNA
Rfam family: Bacterial small subunit ribosomal RNA
Source: RNAcentral